RNAcentral lists this long non-coding RNA (278 nucleotides) under Salvia miltiorrhiza (redroot sage). RNAcentral describes it as "long non-coding RNA (SMIL_LNC009824)". Lineage: Eukaryota; Viridiplantae; Streptophyta; Magnoliopsida; Lamiales; Lamiaceae. The record is from RNAcentral.
CCGUUGGUCGGAGGAAAUGGAGAUGAACGAUUUUAUUUAUUAUUAGGUGUUUUUACUAAUGGGUUUUUAGAGCACUGAAGCUUAAGGCUGCCCUGCGUUUUUCCAUUUUGCUUUNUUUUUUCUAUUUGACGAGCUCCUUUUCGAGUCUCAGGUUCAUAGUCUGUAUUCUUGUGCUUUCAAGGAUUCUUUUUUUUCUUGUUUUUUAAAACUUCAAUUUAAUAAAUAUCUGUGCAAGCUGUAUAUUUAGUGCCAUCUAAUUGUAUUAGAUGUGAUUAAGU